UCUCCGGAUCGGCUUCGGGGAGCCGGCGACGGCAUCCUGUCGCUGAGAAGCUGAUCAAACUUGGUCGUUUAGAGGAAGUAAAAGUCGUAACAAGGUUUCCGUAGGUGAACCUGCGGAAGGAUCAUUAAAGAAAUAAUCUCGAGGGCCGAUGGAAAGGAGAGAGGGUUGUAGCUGGCGUAAGCACGUGCACGCCCUCUUUCUCGACCUAGGUCCUUAUGGGCGCGGGGCGACCCGCGUCUUCAUAAGCCCCUUCGUGUAGAAAGUCUAUGAAUGUUUUUAUUAUCAUCGACUCGCGACUUCUAGGAGACGCGAUUCUUUGAGACAAAAGUUAUUACAACUUUCAGCAAUGGAUCUCUUGGCUCUCGCAUCGAUGAAGAACGCAGCGAAUCGCGAUAUGUAAUGUGAAUUGCAGAUCUACAGUGAAUCAUCGAAUCUUUGAACGCACCUUGCGCUUAUCGGUGUUCCGAUGAGCAUGCCUGUUUGAGCGUCAUUAAAUUCUCAACCCCUCUCGAUUUGCUUCGAGAGGGUGCUUGGAUAGUGGAGGCUGCCGGAGACCUGUUUUUUCAGGACUCGGGCUCCUCUGAAAUGUAUUGGCUUGCGGUCGACUUUCGACUGUGCAUGACAAGGCCUUUGGCGUGAUAAUGAUCGCCGCUCGCCGAAGUGCACGAACGAAUGGUCUCGUGCCCCUAAUCAGUCGAUGUCUUUUCGAAGGCGUCUUCCUUAUUGACGNUUUGACCUCANAAUCAGGUAGGACUACCCGCUGAACUUAAGCAUAUCAAUAAGCGGAGGAAAAGAAACUAACAAGGAUUCCCCUAGUAACUGCGAGUGAACCGGGAAAAGCUCAAAUUUUGAAUCUGGCGGUCCUUCGGGCCGUCCGAGUUGUAAUCUAGAGAAGCGUCUUCC
Molecule: ribosomal RNA, 903 nt
Filed under: Suillus sp. RT-2012
Lineage: Eukaryota; Fungi; Basidiomycota; Agaricomycetes; Boletales; Suillaceae
Description: eukaryotic LSU rRNA
Rfam family: 5.8S ribosomal RNA (bases 336-490)
Source: RNAcentral